CCGUGGGCAACGCCAGCGGCCCCGUCCUCGUCUCCUGGCCGGGGGGGCCCAGACCCCAGCAGGUGCUGGGGCUGGGGGGCAGCACAGAGCUGCUCAUCAGCCCCGCGGGCAUCGCCGGGGGCACCGGGGGGCUCUGCGAGGUGCGCUUCAAUGCCUCCGGUCCCCCCGUCCGCAGGAGCGUGGAGCUGCACGGGGCCAAGGGUGCCUGCACGACACCAAGUGCCGUAGCCAGGGCACUGCUGCUGCUCGGCCUCAUCCUCGGCAUCUGCUGCCUCUUUCAUGCAUGGAGGGGACUCCAGCCCAGAGCUCCAGACCCUCCUGCAAGCCCAGCACCAGCAGGGAGAGCUGACGUACGCCCAGCUCCGCUUCGCCACCCCAGCGAGGGCAGCGCCGUGACCCACGGGGCUGGGCCCCAAGGCCUCGGUGGCGGCGCCGUGCAGCCCUGGGAGGCUGCGGCUGCCCCGGCCGCCGGGACAGCGGGGAGGAAGGAACGGGACCGAACCUCCAAGGAGGGGGCUCGAAGGAGCAGUGAAUGACGGGAGAGGACCUCAAAUGUGGCGUUAAUAAAGAGAUUGAAACUAAAAUGAGGAGUAAAUCG
Molecule: long non-coding RNA, 598 nt
Filed under: Anas platyrhynchos platyrhynchos (common mallard)
Lineage: Eukaryota; Metazoa; Chordata; Aves; Anseriformes; Anatidae
Description: lncRNA (ENSAPLG00000017311.1)
Source: RNAcentral